UCAGGCGGACUUCGGCCGCCUCGAGAUCGAGCUGGCGGAGGUCGAGAUGCCCGGGCUCAUGGCCUGCCGCACCGAGUUCGGCCCGUCCCAGCCCUUCGCCGGCGCCAGGAUCUCGGGCUCCCUCCACAUGACCAUCCAGACCGCCGUCCUCAUCGAGACCCUCACCGCGCUCGGCGCCGAGGUCCGCUGGUGCUCCUGCAACAUCUUCUCCACGCAGGACCACGCCGCCGCCGCCAUCGCGCGGGACUCCGCCGCGGUCUUCGCCUGGAAGGGGGAGACGCUCGAGGAGUACUGGUGGUGCACCGAGCGCUGCCUCGACUGGGGCGAGGGCGGCGGCCCCGACCUCAUCGUCGACGACGGUGGUGACGCCACCCUCCUCAUCCACGAGGGCGUCAAGGCCGAGGAGGAGUAUGAGAAGUCCGGCAAGAUCCCCGACCCGGAGUCCACCGACAACGCCGAGUUCAAGAUCGUGCUCACCAUCAUCCGCGACGG
This 492-nucleotide long non-coding RNA is filed under the name Setaria italica (foxtail millet). RNAcentral's name for it is "long non-coding RNA (SITA_LNC000639)". The record is from RNAcentral. Lineage: Eukaryota; Viridiplantae; Streptophyta; Magnoliopsida; Poales; Poaceae.